Podarcis lilfordi (Lilford's wall lizard) is the source of this 85-nucleotide non-coding RNA. NCBI's taxonomy places the organism in Eukaryota, Metazoa, Chordata, Lepidosauria, Squamata, Lacertidae. The record is from the annotation of a GenBank genome assembly.
AUAUAUAUAUGUACACACACACACACACACAGACACGUGUGUGUGAUAUGUGUGUGUGUGUGUGUGUGUGUGUGUGUGUGUAUAU